RNAcentral lists this non-coding RNA (26 nucleotides) under Cricetulus griseus (Chinese hamster). The record is from RNAcentral. Lineage: Eukaryota; Metazoa; Chordata; Mammalia; Rodentia; Cricetidae.
AUGGUACAAGGAAAAAACUGACUUUG